This 500-nucleotide ribosomal RNA is filed under the name uncultured Glomeromycotina. RNAcentral describes it as "partial small subunit ribosomal RNA". It matches the Rfam family "Eukaryotic small subunit ribosomal RNA", at positions 591 to 1092 of the family's 1831-position model. Lineage: Eukaryota; Fungi; Glomeromycota. The record is from RNAcentral.
CCAAUAGCGUAUAUUAAAGUUGUUGCAGUUAAAAAGCUCGUAGUUGAAUUUCGGGAUCAGUACGCUGGUCGUGCCUUUGGUAUGUACUGGUGUCACUGAUUCCUCCCUUCUGAUGAACCGUUAUGCCAUUUAUUUGGUGUGACGGGGAAUCAGGACUGUUACUUUGAAAAAAUUAGAGUGUUUAAAGCAGGCUCGCGCUUGAAUAUAUUAGCAUGGAAUAAUGAAAUAGGACGUUUGAUUCUAUUUUGUUGGUUUCUAGGAUCGACGUAAUGAUUAAUAGGGAUAGUUGGGGGCAUUAGUAUUCAAUUGUCAGAGGUGAAAUUCUUGGAUUUAUUGAAGACUAACUACUGCGAAAGCAUUUGCCAAGGAUGUUGUCAUUAAUCAAGAACGAAAGUUAGGGGAUCGAAGACGAUCAGAUACCGUCGUAGUCUUAACCAUAAACUAUGCCGACUAGGGAUCGGAUGAUGUUAAUUUUUUAAUGACUCAUUCGGCGCCUUACG